This 328-nucleotide ribosomal RNA is filed under the name uncultured eukaryote. RNAcentral describes it as "partial 18S ribosomal RNA". It matches the Rfam family "Eukaryotic small subunit ribosomal RNA", at positions 1470 to 1796 of the family's 1831-position model. The record is from RNAcentral.
CCCUUAGAUGUCCUGGGCCGCACGCGCGUUACACUGAUGCAUUCAACGAGCUUAUAACCUUGGCCGAGAGGCCUGGGCAAUCUUGUUAACGUGCAUCGUGAUAGGGAUAGAUUAUUGAAAUUAUUAAUCUUGAACGAGGAAUUCCUAGUAAACGCAGAUCAUCAAUCUGCAUUGAUUACGUCCCUGCCCUUUGUACACACCGCCCGUCGCACCUACCGAUUGGAUGGUCCGGUGAAGCCUCGGGAUUGUGGUUCUUGCCGCUUUAUUGUGGCGUGACCGCGAGAACUUGUCUAAACCUUAUCAUCUAGAGGAAGGUGAUGUCGUAACA